AGCGAACGCUGGCGGCAGGCUUAACACAUGCAAGUCGAACGCCCCGCAAGGGGAGUGGCAGACGGGUGAGUAACACGUGGGAACGUACCCUUUGGUUCGGAAUAACUUGGGGAAACUCAAGCUAAUACCGGAUAAGCCCUUAUGGGGAAAGGUUUACUGCCGAAGGAACGGCCCGCGUCUGAUUAGCUAGUUGGGGAGGUAAUGGCUCACCAAGGCGACGAUCAGUAGCUGGUCUGAGAGGAUGAUCAGCCACACUGGGACUGAGACACGGCCCAGACUCCUACGGGAGGCAGCAGUGGGGAAUAUUGGACAAUGGGGGCAACCCUGAUCCAGCCAUGCCGCGUGAGUGAUGAAGGCCUUAGGGUUGUAAAGCUCUUUUACCCGGGACGAUAAUGACUGUACCGGGAGAAUAAGCCCCGGCUAACUUCGUGCCAGCCGCCGCCGUAA
This 447-nucleotide ribosomal RNA is filed under the name uncultured bacterium. Its description in RNAcentral is "partial 16S ribosomal RNA". It matches the Rfam family "Bacterial small subunit ribosomal RNA", at positions 29 to 523 of the family's 1533-position model. The record is from RNAcentral.